Molecule: ribosomal RNA, 464 nt
Filed under: uncultured bacterium
Lineage: Bacteria
Description: partial 16S ribosomal RNA
Rfam family: Bacterial small subunit ribosomal RNA
Source: RNAcentral
ACGAACGCUGGCGGCGUGCUUAACACAUGCAAGUCGCACGGAAAGGCCCUGCUUGCAGGGUACUCGAGUGGCGAACGGGUGAGUAACACGUGGGUGAUCUGCCCUGCACUUCGGGAUAAGCCUGGGAAACUGGGUCUAAUACCGGAUAGGAGCCAUUUUUAGUGUGAUGGUUGGAAAGUUUUUUCGGCGUAGGAUGAGCUCGCGGCCUAUCAGCUUGUUGGUGGGGUAAUGGCCUACCAAGGCGGCGACGGGUAGCCGGCCUGAGAGGGUGGACGGCCACAUUGGGACUGAGAUACGGCCCAGACUCCUACGGGAGGCAGCAGUGGGGAAUAUUGCACAAUGGGCGCAAGCCUGAUGCAGCGACGCCGCGUGGGGGAUGACGGCCUUCGGGUUGUAAACUCCUUUCGCUAGGGACGAAGCUUUUUGUGACGGUACCUAGAUAAGAAGCACCGGCUAACUACGUG